Molecule: long non-coding RNA, 426 nt
Filed under: Physcomitrium patens
Lineage: Eukaryota; Viridiplantae; Streptophyta; Bryopsida; Funariales; Funariaceae
Description: long non-coding RNA (PPAT_LNC002915)
Source: RNAcentral
AUGGAAGGAAAAAUGGAACUUGUAAUAGGAUGACCUUUACAACUCUAAUAGAAUCCUAAAAAAUAUUCAACUAGAUUAUAACAAUAUUAAUUAAACUUCAAUUAAAUCCAAAAGAAGUCUCAAGAACUUAUAAAAGAAAUAUAAAGAAAUCAUAAAUUAAUCUUAAAGAAAUAUAUAAUAAAGCAAUCUUAGUAAAAUAUCAAAAAUAAAAAUCUUAAUUGAAUCCUAAUAAAAUCCUAAUAUAAUCCUUAAUAAACUCUAAUAAAAUCUUAAACUAAUCCCAAUCAAACUUUAAUGAAAUUCUAAAUCCUAAACAAAUCCUAAUCAAAUCCUAGAAAAAUUUUAAAUCCUAAUCCUAUAAAAAUCUUAAAUCCUAAUUCUUAAUCAAACUAUAAUCAAAUCCUAAAUCCUAAUCUUAUAUCAAAU